AUACUUACCUGGCAGGGUAGAUACCAUGACAACAAAGGUGGUUUUCCUAGGGCAAGGCUUAUCCAUUCCUCUCAAGAUGUGCUAACCUCUGAGAGAUUUCCCGAGGUUUGGGAAACUGCCUAAUUUGUGGUAGUGGGAGACACAUUUGAGUCCUCCCU
Molecule: small nuclear RNA, 158 nt
Filed under: Castor canadensis (American beaver)
Lineage: Eukaryota; Metazoa; Chordata; Mammalia; Rodentia; Castoridae
Description: U1 spliceosomal RNA (ENSCCNG00000009993.1)
Rfam family: U1 spliceosomal RNA
About the family: U1 is a small nuclear RNA (snRNA) component of the spliceosome (involved in pre-mRNA splicing).
Source: Rfam by way of RNAcentral